RNAcentral lists this ribosomal RNA (253 nucleotides) under uncultured bacterium. RNAcentral's name for it is "partial 16S ribosomal RNA". It matches the Rfam family "Bacterial small subunit ribosomal RNA", at positions 524 to 776 of the family's 1533-position model. The record is from RNAcentral.
UACAGAGGGUGCGAGCGUUGUUCGGAAUUAUUGGGCGUAAAGAGCUCGUAGGCGGUCUGUUGCGUCUGCUGUGAAAACUCGGGGCUUAACCCCGAGCCUGCAGUGGAUACGGGCAGACUAGAGGUAGGUAGGGGAGAAUGGAAUUCCCGGUGUAGCGGUGAAAUGCGCAGAUAUCAGGAGGAACACCGGUGGCGAAGGCGGGUCUCUGGGCCGAAAUUGACGCUGAGGAGCGAAAGCGUGGGGAGCAAACAGG